RNAcentral lists this ribosomal RNA (430 nucleotides) under uncultured bacterium. RNAcentral describes it as "bacterial SSU rRNA". It matches the Rfam family "Bacterial small subunit ribosomal RNA", at positions 354 to 776 of the family's 1533-position model. The record is from RNAcentral.
GUGGGGAAUCUUGCGCAAUGCGCGAAAGCGUGACGCAGCAACGCCGCGUGGGGGAAGACGGCCUUCGGGUUGUAAACCCCUUUCAGGAGGGACGAAGGUUCACCGGUGAAUAGCCGUGUGGAUUGACGGUACCUCCACAAGAAGGUCCGGCUAACUACGUGCCAGCAGCCGCGGUAAUACGUAGGGACCAAGCGUUGUCCGGAAUCAUUGGGCGUAAAGCGCGCGUAGGUGGCCAUUUAAGUCCGCUGUGAAAGUCAAAGGCUCAACCUUUGAAAGCCGGUGGAUACUGGAUGGCUAGAGUACGGAAGAGGCGAGUGGAAUUCCUGGUGUAGCGGUGGAAUGCGCAGAUAUCAGGAGGAACACCAAUAGCGAAGGCAGCUCGCUGGGACGUUACUGACACUGAGGCGCGAAAGCGUGGGGAGCGAACAGG